RNAcentral lists this ribosomal RNA (468 nucleotides) under uncultured bacterium. RNAcentral's name for it is "partial 16S ribosomal RNA". It matches the Rfam family "Bacterial small subunit ribosomal RNA", at positions 28 to 507 of the family's 1533-position model. The record is from RNAcentral.
GACGAACGCUGGCGGCGUGCUUAACACAUGCAAGUCGAACGGAAAGGCCCUGCUUUUGUGGGGUGCUCGAGUGGCGAACGGGUGAGUAACACGUGAGUAACCUGCCCUUGACUUUGGGAUAACUUCAGGAAACUGGGGCUAAUACCGGAUAGGAGCUCCUGCUGCAUGGUGGGGGUUGGAAAGUUUGGGCGGUUGGGGAUGGACUCGCGGCUUAUCAGCUUGUUGGUGGGGUAGUGGCUUACCAAGGCUUUGACGGGUAGCCGGCCUGAGAGGGUGACCGGCCACAUUGGGACUGAGAUACGGCCCAGACUCCUACGGGAGGCAGCAGUGGGGAAUAGUGCACAAUGGGCGGAAGCCUGAUGCAGCAACGCCGCGUGCGGGAUGACGGCCUUCGGGUUGUAAACCGCUUUCACCUGUGACGAAGCGUGAGUGACGGUAAUGGGUAAAGAAGCACCGGCUAACUACGUG